GAUGAAUGCUGGCGGCGUGCCUAACACAUGCAAGUCGAGCGGCAGCGAGUUUUACACUGAAUUCUGGAAGCUUCUGGAUAAUAUAGAAGAUCUAUUCAAGGAUUUUGUGUAAAAUGUCGGCGAGCGGCGGACGGCUGAGUAACGCGUAGAAAUUUGCCCCAAAGUGAGGAAUAACUGCCCGAAAGGGUAGCUAAUGCCGCAUAUGGUCUUCGGAUUAAAGCCUUCGGGUACUUUGGGAGAAGCCUGCGUUGGAUUAGGUAGUUGGUAGGGUAAUGGCCUACCAAGCCGACGAUCCAUAGCUGGUCUGAGAGGAUGAUCAGCCAGACUGGAACUGAGACACGGUCCAGACUCCUACGGGAGGCAGCAGUGAGGAAUCUUCCACAAUGGGCGAAAGCCUGAUGGAGCAACGCCGCGUGAAGGAUGAAGGCCUUCGGGUUGUAAACUUCUUUUAUGAGUGAAGAAUAUGACGGUAACUCAUGAAUAAGCACCGGCUAACUACGUGCCAGCAGCCGCGGUCAUACGUAGGGUGCAAGCAUUAUCCGGAGUGACUGGGCGUAAAGAGUUGCGUAGGCGGUUUAAUAAGUGAAUAGUGAAACCUGGUGGCUCAACCAUACAGACUAUUAUUCAAACUGUUAAACUCGAGAAUGGUAGAGGUAACUGGAAUUUCUAGUGUAGGAGUGAAAUCCGUAGAUAUUAGAAGGAACACCGAUGGCGUAGGCAGGUUACUGGGCCAUUUCUGACGCUCAGGCACGAAAGCGUGGGGAGCGAACCGG
This 773-nucleotide ribosomal RNA is filed under the name uncultured Candidatus Saccharibacteria bacterium. RNAcentral's name for it is "bacterial SSU rRNA". It matches the Rfam family "Bacterial small subunit ribosomal RNA", at positions 28 to 776 of the family's 1533-position model. The record is from RNAcentral. Lineage: Bacteria; Candidatus Saccharimonadota.